AAGACUGUCCCCAUCAUCACAUCAGUUUGAGGGACCUUUUGCAGCAAGAAAAUACGCUGGAAAGCAUACAAUGCCCGAAAAGACCAAAACGAAUUUAACUGCAGGCCUAUAGAAGCCGUCGAAGACAUCUUCGUCUUCUGGGCAAGUAGCUCGAGACAAGAACAACGUGGUGCCAAUUUCAGUGCACGCGAAGCCUGAAUCUGAACUGAACGCGAUUGCAGGUGUACACUUUUUGUAUGCGGAACACUAAUGGCAAAAUAAACUCCGCUAGUAAAGACUAA
Long non-coding RNA from Salvelinus fontinalis (brook trout), 281 nucleotides. RefSeq lists it as uncharacterized. The record is from RefSeq and is a predicted model, not a curated record. Lineage: Eukaryota; Metazoa; Chordata; Actinopteri; Salmoniformes; Salmonidae. The transcript is spliced from 2 exons.